AGUGAACGCUGGCGGUAGGCCUAACACAUGCAAGUCGAACGGCAGCACAGUAAGAGCUUGCUCUUACGGGUGGCGAGUGGCGGAUGGGUGAGGAAUACAUCGGAAUCUACUUUUUCGUGGGGGAUAACGUAGGGAAACUUACGCUAAUACCGCAUACGACCUACGGGUGAAAGCAGGGGAUCUUCGGACCUUGCGCAAUUGAAUGAGCCGAUGUCGGAUUAGCUAGUUGGCGGGGUAAAGGCCCACCAAGGCGACGAUCCGUAGCUGGUCUGAGAGGAUGAUCAGCCACACUGGAACUGAGACACGGUCCAGACUCCUACGGGAGGCAGCAGUGGGGAAUAUUGGACAAUGGGCGCAAGCCUGAUCCAGCCAUACCGCGUGGGUGAAGAAGGCCUGCGGGUUGUAAAGCCCUUUUGUUGGGAAAGAAAAGCAGCAGGUUAAUACCCCGCUGUUCUGACGGUACCCAAAGAAUAAGCACCGGCUAACUUCGU
RNAcentral lists this ribosomal RNA (491 nucleotides) under uncultured bacterium. RNAcentral describes it as "partial 16S ribosomal RNA". It matches the Rfam family "Bacterial small subunit ribosomal RNA", at positions 29 to 506 of the family's 1533-position model. The record is from RNAcentral.